AAACGGGAAGAUGAACAACUGGGAGUGCACGUGUAGGAUUCAACAGCAACAGUGUUGCACGAGGCCGCACAUGGACGACGGUCACUCCAUAGCACCUAUUACCUCGGUUCUUGCUACUGCUCAAACAAGGCGGAUUUUUUAACACUUCCAAGGCACCAACGAGAGCGAGAGCGAGCUGCUUUGCUCCAAGUGCUGCUUCCGCUCCACCAAGGUACAGACAGACUUCGCUGAAAUUCUAGCUCUGCGCUUGUGAGUGAUGUGAGAGAGGCUGCUGCCUAGAGAGAACUAUAUAGCAUAGCUACUUUGCUUUGGAAGUGCUCACUCCGCUGAUGGGCUUUCGUUGGGUUUCAGGAAAUUUGCAUGGAGCGGCGGACAGAAAGAAUGUGAGGGUGAUAUUAUAUGCGGCGAGGAGCGGAAAUAGAAGCACUUGAAAUUUGGAGAAAAGCCAAAACGAGGAGAGGACUGUCCGACCAACGGGCGAAGAAGUUGCGAGUACUAAAAAGAAACCAUAAAGAAAAGGAAAGAGGAAAAGAAAACAAGCGCGAUCGAGCGAGGCGAGCGGACGAGCCAAGCAGCGAAACUAACUCAGACGAGACUGAGACCGCCCCGAGCCAUGAAUAGAAAAUGAUAGAAGAAGAAGGGGCUUCGUACACAUCAACGAGAAAUUUGGAGCGGAGAAAAAUGGAGAGACUGCAGCUCUCUCGAAAAAUAUACUACAUAACAACAGGAGGGAAGCGGAGAAAGAACAACGAGUUAUCGAAAGCGGAAGCAAAAGAAGAAAAGCAAGACAGGACGCUCCACAAAAGCUUUGGCUUUCAAGAGCCCUCCAGGAUUGAAAAAUCAAAGAAAUCCAGCGCCGGGUCCUCCGCUUGAGGUAGCGUGUCGCGCAGGUGGUGUUCCGGAUGGGUCCCUUUGGUUCAUGAGACCGAGCGCUCAACGCUAGGCAGCCAGCGGAAGAAAAGAAAAGAGGACCAGAUUUGUGGGAUAUAUUGGCCGAGAAGGAAGGAAUCGUUCAAGUUCGCAGCACUAGCUCAGCACCGCAGCAGCAGCAGCACUGUUCCUGUUCAUGAAUAGCGACAUAUGGGCCGACAUCGCCAGAGCGACAAGCACGAGAGCGUUCGUUCCUGGUGAUCACCACUGUUGCUUGCCUACCACCUCUGGUCCAACGCAAAGAUGAUCAUCGACCGACUAGAUGGCUGGAAGAUCAUCGACCGACUAGAUGGCUCGAGCGACUUUCGGCCCGGCCCCAGCAGACAGUGCAGCCCACCAUCUUUUACCGCGUCCCCGCGUGAUGAUGCCGUCGUGCACAGAGAGCAAUUUGACUUUGGUGUAGCAACAAGUUGGCUGGAUCAUCGUGGCACACACACCGCAUAGCGAUAUGCGCGCGCGCACACAC
Molecule: long non-coding RNA, 1396 nt
Organism: Selaginella moellendorffii
Lineage: Eukaryota; Viridiplantae; Streptophyta; Lycopodiopsida; Selaginellales; Selaginellaceae
Exons: 3
Source: RefSeq, a predicted model, not a curated record